This 263-nucleotide ribosomal RNA is filed under the name uncultured bacterium. Its description in RNAcentral is "partial 16S ribosomal RNA". It matches the Rfam family "Bacterial small subunit ribosomal RNA", at positions 524 to 786 of the family's 1533-position model. The record is from RNAcentral.
UACGUAGGGUGCGAGCGUUAAUCGGAAUUACUGGGCGUAAAGCGUGCGCAGGCGGUUAUGUAAGACAGAUGUGAAAUCCCCGGGCUCAACCUGGGAACUGCAUUAGUGACUGCAUAGCUGGAGUACGGCAGAGGGGGAUGGAAUUCCGCGUGUAGCAGUGAAAUGCGUAGAUAUGCGGAGGAACACCGAUGGCGAAGGCAAUCCCCUGGGCCUGUACUGACGCUCAUGCACGAAAGCGUGGGGAGCAAACAGGAUUAGAUACC